GAUGAACGCUGGCGGCGUGCCUAAUACAUGCAAGUCGAGCGAACAGACGAGGAGCUUGCUCCUCUGACGUUAGCGGCGGACGGGUGAGUAACACGUGGAUAACCUACCUAUAAGACUGGGAUAACUUCGGGAAACCGGAGCUAAUACCGGAUAAUAUAUUGAACCGCAUGGUUCAAUAGUGAAAGACGGUUUUGCUGUCACUUAUAGAUGGAUCCGCGCCGCAUUAGCUAGUUGGUAAGGUAACGGCUUACCAAGGCAACGAUGCGUAGCCGACCUGAGAGGGUGAUCGGCCACACUGGAACUGAACCACGGUCCAGACUCCUACGGGAGGCAGCAGUAGGGAAUCUUCCGCAAUGGGCGAAAGCCUGACGGAGCAACGCCGCGUGAGUGAUGAAGGUCUUCGGAUCGUAAAACUCUGUUAUUAGGGAAGAACAAAUGUGUAAGUAACUAUGCACGUCUUGACGGUACCUAAUCAGAAAGCCACGGCUAACUACGUG
RNAcentral lists this ribosomal RNA (497 nucleotides) under uncultured bacterium. RNAcentral's name for it is "partial 16S ribosomal RNA". It matches the Rfam family "Bacterial small subunit ribosomal RNA", at positions 28 to 507 of the family's 1533-position model. The record is from RNAcentral.